RNAcentral lists this ribosomal RNA (448 nucleotides) under uncultured bacterium. RNAcentral describes it as "bacterial SSU rRNA". It matches the Rfam family "Bacterial small subunit ribosomal RNA", at positions 330 to 792 of the family's 1533-position model. The record is from RNAcentral.
UCCAGACUCCUACGGGAGGCAGCAGUGGGGAAUAUUGGGCAAUGGGCGCAAGCCUGACCCAGCAACGCCGCGUGAAGGAAGAAGGCCCUCGGGUUGUAAACUUCUUUUAUUCGGGACGAAACAAAUGACGGUACCGAAUGAAUAAGCCACGGCUAACUACGUGCCAGCAGCCGCGGUAAUACGUAGGUGGCAAGCGUUAUCCGGAUUUACUGGGUGUAAAGGGCGUGUAGGCGGGAGAGCAAGUCAGACGUGAAAUUCCAGGGCUCAACCCUGGAACUGCGUUUGAAACUGUUCUUCUUGAGUGAUGGAGAGGCAGGCGGAAUUCCGUGUGUAGCGGUGAAAUGCGUAGAUAUACGGAGGAACACCAGUGGCGAAGGCGGCCUGCUGGACAUUAACUGACGCUGAGGCGCGAAAGCGUGGGGAGCAAACAGGAUUAGAUACCCCAGUA